This is a long non-coding RNA of Oreochromis aureus, 408 nucleotides long. NCBI's taxonomy places the organism in Eukaryota, Metazoa, Chordata, Actinopteri, Cichliformes, Cichlidae. The record is from Ensembl.
AAAGGAGGGAGAGGAGGAGAGUGAGAGAGGAGAUUGGGGGGGACAGAGAUAGGGUAGUGAAAAUGAUGGCGACCGAUUCAGUGGAGAUAAGAAACCAAACGAGCCCCUGUCCCAUCCCUGACAACAGUCUCAGCACUCUGUCCAUCAAAAUAACGCGGAAAAACCAGGACAGACACUGGAAGUUGCGGUUUAUUUAUCUGCAGUGCUCCACAUCUAUGUGAUCCCAGUCUUCACCUGGAGCCUGACUCUUGCUAUUUUACUGGCCCACACAGUUAUUCAGCCAAUCACUUCAGUGCUCACCCUCCUGAAAGGAAUCCUCCUCAUUGUCACGGUAACAGUGAUUCUCUGCAUUUUGCUGUUUUGAUACAUUUUGGCAUAAUUUUCAAGCAUUUGUAAUAAUGAUACAGG